CAAUAGCGUAUAUUAAAGUUGUUGCAGUUAAAAAGCUCGUAGUUGGAUUUCUGGUGGGAGCGAUCGGUCUGGCGCUUAGCGCGAGUACUUGCAUCGUCUCCGGCCAUCCUUGGGGAGAGUCUGUCUGGCAUUAGGUUGUCGGGCAGAGGAUCCUCAUCGUUUACUGUGAAAAAAUUAGAGUGUUCAAAGCAGGCUUAUGCCGUUGAAUAUAUUAGCAUGGAAUAAUAAGAUAGGACUUUGGUACUAUUUUGUUGGUUUGCGCACCAAAGUAAUGAUUAAUAGGGACAGUUGGGGGUAUUCGUAUUCCGUUGUCAGAGGUGAAAUUCUUGGAUUUACGGAAGACGAACUACUGCGAAAGCAUUUAUCAAGGAUGUUUUCAUUAA
This 383-nucleotide ribosomal RNA is filed under the name uncultured eukaryote. RNAcentral describes it as "partial 18S ribosomal RNA". It matches the Rfam family "Eukaryotic small subunit ribosomal RNA", at positions 592 to 976 of the family's 1831-position model. The record is from RNAcentral.